This 253-nucleotide ribosomal RNA is filed under the name uncultured bacterium. Its description in RNAcentral is "partial 16S ribosomal RNA". It matches the Rfam family "Bacterial small subunit ribosomal RNA", at positions 524 to 776 of the family's 1533-position model. The record is from RNAcentral.
UACGAAGGUGGCAAGCGUUGUUCGGAUUUACUGGGCGUAAAGGGCGCGUAGGUGGUUAGGUAAGCCCUCCGGGAAAUCUUCAGGCUUAACCUGAAAAGGUCGGGGGGGACUGCCUAGCUAGAGGGCGGGAGAGGAGCGCGGAAUUCCCGGUGUAGCGGUGAAAUGCGUAGAGAUCGGGAGGAAGGCCGGUGGCGAAGGCGGCGCUCUGGAACGUUUCUGACACUGAUGCGCGACAGCGUGGGGAGCAAACAGG